Molecule: transfer RNA, 69 nt
Filed under: Tampichthys ipni (lantern minnow)
Lineage: Eukaryota; Metazoa; Chordata; Actinopteri; Cypriniformes; Leuciscidae
Description: tRNA-Ser
Source: RNAcentral
AAGGAAGGAUAGAAAUCAACAGAUACUGCUAAUACUUGUGCCCCGAAGUUAAACUCCUCGGCUUCCUUA